RNAcentral lists this ribosomal RNA (253 nucleotides) under uncultured bacterium. RNAcentral describes it as "partial 16S ribosomal RNA". It matches the Rfam family "Bacterial small subunit ribosomal RNA", at positions 524 to 776 of the family's 1533-position model. The record is from RNAcentral.
UACAGAGGUGGCAAGCGUUGUUCGGAAUUACUGGGCGUAAAGGGCGCGUAGGCGGCCUUGUAAGUCCUGUGUGAAAUCCCCCGGCUCAACUGGGGAACUGCACAGGAGACUGCUUGGCUUGAGUUCGGGAGAGGGAAGCGGAAUUCCGGGUGUAGCGGUGAAAUGCGUAGAUAUCCGGAGGAACACCGGUGGCGAAGGCGGCUUCCUGGACCGACACUGACGCUGAGGCGCGAAAGCCAGGGGAGCGAACGGG